This 253-nucleotide ribosomal RNA is filed under the name uncultured bacterium. RNAcentral's name for it is "partial 16S ribosomal RNA". It matches the Rfam family "Bacterial small subunit ribosomal RNA", at positions 524 to 776 of the family's 1533-position model. The record is from RNAcentral.
UACGUAGGGGGCAAGCGUUGUCCGGAUUUAUUGGGCGUAAAGAGCGUGUAGGCGGCCAGGGAGGUCCGUUGUGAAAACUCGAGGCUCAACCUCGAGACGCCGAUGGAAACCCCCUGGCUAGAGUCCGGAAGAGGAGAAUGGAAUUCCUGGUGUAGCGGUGAAAUGCGCAGAUAUCAGGAAGAACACCCGUGGCUAAGGCGGCUCACUGGCCCGGUACUGACGCUGAGGCGCGAAAGCGUGGGGAGCAAACAGG